Molecule: non-coding RNA, 71 nt
Organism: Phrynosoma platyrhinos (Desert horned lizard)
Lineage: Eukaryota; Metazoa; Chordata; Lepidosauria; Squamata; Phrynosomatidae
Source: the annotation of a GenBank genome assembly
GCCAGUGUGGCGGAGUGGUUUGAGCAUUGGACUACAACUCUGGAGACCAGGGUUCAAAUCCCUGCUUGGCU